Molecule: long non-coding RNA, 3199 nt
Filed under: Olea europaea (common olive)
Lineage: Eukaryota; Viridiplantae; Streptophyta; Magnoliopsida; Lamiales; Oleaceae
Description: long non-coding RNA (OEUR_LNC006880)
Source: RNAcentral
UACUUUGAACAGACUAAAAGAUUUUUGACUCACUAAUGAGAACGUUAUAAUUUUGACAACUAUUAAAGCGAGUGGUCGAAUAAGGUAAAAAGAAUUCAUGUAGCUUAUCCCAAAUUUAUUGGGAAUAAGCUUUAGUUUGCUGCUAUAGCAGUACUGCUGCCAUUGAGAAUAAAUAAAACCUGCAUUUCAAUUUAUUCCAAAAAUUGUUUCUACUGCUCUUAUUGCUUGUGAAUCUGUUUUCUUAAAGAUAAAUACAUUUUUGAGUAUCUAUAUUUGUUCAAACUACGAGAUCUAAAUUAGGAUUUAGGGUUUAAUAUAAUGGAGCAGCUUACAGGGUUUCUUAUAAGCCCACAAAAUAUGGGACACACACUAUUUGUGGCUCAUAAGAUGCCAUAAGUUGGGGUUUCCCUAUUGACGCCAACACUUUGUAUGGCUUAUAAGAAAAUUCCAUGAGUUGCUUCCAAACAUACUCAUAGCCAAACUAAGCUGGAUUCUUGUUUCUUGUCUAUAGAAAACAGUUACAUCCAAAUGUUUAUUUUUUGGUCGAAACUCAAUGUCUAGUUUAACUUGAUUGGGGAACUAUUAAUGGAUUUGAAUCCACAACAAACCUACAUUGAAGGAAAUUUUAAACAGGAAAUCAGGAAUGCAUAAGAGAAACUAUGAACUGUAGAAAGAGAAUAUACCGUUCGAAUUGGCAGGCCUAAAAAGUUGAGCUUCAGAAUAGGGGUUAUUGGGCUUCUGCCUGUGCCAUGAUAGUAUUUACAAGCCUUUCCGUACUUGCAUCCCCCUGAUGUCAAGUAAUACUGCAUAGAGUGCAAGUAGUGUUUUAUCUAGUACAGAAGUUAAGUUUAAUAGCAUAUUGCAUGAAGGCAUCAUUUAAAAUGAUAACAUAAGUGAAUAUCAAGAGCUUCACCUUAUGAAAGGGUAACAAGCUUCAAGGAAAACACACUAAGAAUUUACAAAUAGUUUAAUUUAUAAAUAUAUAGAAAUGAGUGGUGGAUAAGUGGAUAAUAUCUGUGGAUCCACAUGAAUGUGUUAUUGAAAAAGUUCGACCAUUCAUAAAUAACUUAUAAGUUUUUCCGAACAGAGGCUUAGUCACGUAGGAUUAGUCUUAAAAUUAUUUAAUUAACAGUUUCCUAUUUGAAAUCCUAGUUUAAUGUAGAAGCCUUUUAGAUCUAUAAUACUCACUUAAGAGUGAUUUUGCUCAACCCUUAUAUGGGUGAUCCCUUCUCACUUCUCCCACUUCGUCUUUACUACUACUCUUCUUAUUUGUUUCUAUAUAAGAUGUUCUUCUACUAUAUUUAGACAUAAUCUAACUCAAUUUUCAUCGCUAAUAAACAGACUUAUUAGUUAUCCUGGAUAAAGCAUUCUUAUUUCCAUAAUAUCGAAUAGAGCAAUGCUAUUCAUCAUUAGUAGAGAUAAUUAUGUUUUGGCCUCCUAAUUCAUUGUCCAAUGGAAUUGUAAUGCAUUUUAAUGCAAUGGAAAUGAAUUAAAAGGGCCGACUAUCACCUAUAGUGGCGAUCAUUUCUACUAAUGAUGAAUAGCAAUUACUCUAUCGAAUAGCACUAUUGGUCCUUUUAUUUGUUCUUUUUUGUUUGAAUAGAUAUUCAAAUCUCGAGACCUACUCUAAUUUGCAGGGUUAGAUUCCUGUAUAAAUGCGAAUCAUUCCUCAAUUACAUAUUAUUAUUAUGUCAAGAUGAUUCUGAGAAGCAACCACAGCAAGCAAAUCUAUGUUACAGUUCGUAUCGACAAAAUUACCCGAAGGAAAUAAGAUCACAAAAAUUCAUAGAUAAAUAUAUUUGAUGAUUAAAGUCCCCCCACGCCCUGCAAAAUAAAAAAAAACAAAAAAAAACAGCGGAUUCGAUAAUGACCUUGCAUUCAAUCUGUCCAGCCCUUUCUGGGUUCCCUUCCCUUUGAUUUUCUCUCUCCUUAACAUCCUUCAAAAGAAAAUUCAUACAUGGGUAAAAUAAAAUAUUAGGAAAAUUAACCAAUCAUCAAUAUUUCCAAGAUUUCAAACUGAGUAACAAUACUAUACUAAACUCCACGACAGGCGAGAAGAUUUACAUAAGCAAUGAAUGUUAACAACUUCAUUAUCUUUAGUAAUGAAAACACGAAUGUUAAUGAAACAAAUUUAUUUCUGUUCAUAUAUUGCAACAUGUGGAAGAAAUUAAUAUGCAAAAAUUUAGAACUAAUGUAGAAUGUGCGCAUCAAAGACCAUAUUUAGGGAAUAUAAAAAUGAGUUACUGCAAUAUAAGAAGGAUCUACCACAGCAUUUGAUCGGUCAAACAAGACAUGAAUUCAUGCAUAAGAAACAUGCAGAUGUCUACAGAUGCACACACAAUUCUUCAAAAUAUUACAUAUACUUGUAUAAACAUCUCUUACUUCUGGAACAGUCAACAAUACACACAAUCCAAUUAUAAAUACUUUUACUAACUCGAUCUCAAAAACACUCCUUUAGUAAAAACUGAUUGAAAUCGCUCCUUUAGUAUUAUUAUUUAAAGUAGCAAAAGACCCUUUUUUUUACCAACCUAGCCCUUGAAUCUACAUAAUAACAUGGAAAUCUAGGAGAAGAAGAAGAUGAAGAUGAUACAAUCUAUGUACAGACGACUUACGACAUUCUAAGAGAUUCGACAACUUCUGAUCAAUCAAAUGACUCCCAUGCAUCACUCAAGGAGACUUGUGUGAACUAUUUUCCAAUCACAUUUCAAUUUAUUCCAAAAAUUGUUUCUACUGCUCUUAUUGCUUGUGAAUCUUUUUUCUUAAAGAUAAAUACAUUUUUGAGUAUCUAUAUUUGUUCAAACUACGAGAUCUAAAUUAGGAUUUAGGGUUUAAUAUAAUGGAGCAGCUUAUAGGGUUUCUUAUAAGCCCACAAAAUAUGGGACACACACUAUUUGUGGCUCAUAAGAUGCCAUAAGUUGGGGUUUCCCUAUUGACGCCAACACUUUGUAUGGCUUAUAAGAAAAUUCCAUGAGUUGCUUCCAAACAUACUCAUAGCCAAACUAAGCUGGAUUCUUGUUUCUUGUCUAUAGAAAACAGUUACAUCCAAAUGUUUAUUUUUUGGUCGAAACUCAAUGUCUAGUUUAACUUGAUUGGGGAACUAUUAAUGGAUUUGAAUCCACAACAAACCUACAUUGAAGGAAAUUUUAAACAGGAAAUCAGGAAUGCAUAAGAGAAACUAUGAACUGUAGAAAGAGAAUAU